GACCUACGGGAGGCAGCAGUGGGGAAUAUUGCACAAUGGGGGAAACCCUGAUGCAGCGACGCCGCGUGAGUGAGGAAGUAUUUCGGUAUGUAAAGCUCUAUCAGCAGGGAAGAAAAUGACGGCACCUGACUAAGAAGCCCCGGCUAACUACGUGCCAGCAGCCGCGGUAAUACGUAGGGGGCAAGCGUUAUCCGGAUUUACUGGGUGUAAAGGGAGCGUAGGUGGCAGGGCAAGUCAGAUGUGAAAACCCGGGGCUCAACUCCGGGAGUGCAUUUGAAACUGUCCAGCUAGAGUGCAGGAGAGGU
Molecule: ribosomal RNA, 305 nt
Filed under: uncultured bacterium
Lineage: Bacteria
Description: bacterial SSU rRNA
Rfam family: Bacterial small subunit ribosomal RNA
Source: RNAcentral